RNAcentral lists this ribosomal RNA (505 nucleotides) under uncultured bacterium. Its description in RNAcentral is "partial 16S ribosomal RNA". It matches the Rfam family "Bacterial small subunit ribosomal RNA", at positions 28 to 507 of the family's 1533-position model. The record is from RNAcentral.
GACGAACGCUGGCGGCGUGCCUAAUACAUGCAAGUAGAACGCACAGUUUAUACCGUAGCUUGCUACACCAUAGACUGUGAGUUGCGAACGGGUGAGUAACGCGUAGGUAACCUGCCUGGUAGCGGGGGAUAACUAUUGGAAACGAUAGCUAAUACCGCAUAAUAUUGAUUAUUGCAUGAUAAUUGAUUGAAAGAUGCUAUUGCAUCACUACCAGAUGGACCUGCGUUGUAUUAGCUAGUAGGUGAGGUAACGGCUCACCUAGGCGACGAUACAUAGCCGACCUGAGAGGGUGAUCGGCCACACUGGGACUGAGACACGGCCCAGACUCCUAAGGGAGGCAGCAGUAGGGAAUCUUCGGCAAUGGACGAAAGUCUGACCGAGCAACGCCGCGUGAGGGAAGAAGGUUUUCGGAUCGUAAAGCUCUGUUGUAAGAGAAGAAAGGGUGUGAGAGUGGAAAGUUCACACUGUGACGGUAUCUUACCAGAAAGGGACGGCUAACUACGUG